Alosa alosa (allis shad) is the source of this 380-nucleotide long non-coding RNA. RefSeq lists it as uncharacterized. The transcript has 3 exons. NCBI's taxonomy places the organism in Eukaryota, Metazoa, Chordata, Actinopteri, Clupeiformes, Clupeidae. The record is from RefSeq and is a predicted model, not a curated record.
UUGCAAAGGCACGUUUGUGGUGCUCUGGACUGCGCGACUCUGCCUACGCAAGAAUGUGACGUCACUGAUCUGCAUCCCAUGGACUUCGGACACUAAUAGGCCAUUUGAGAGUGGACUCUCAAUUCAGAGCCAUCCUAUGGCUCCUGCCCUGGCAACACUGGCAAGCAGGGUGGUUUGCAGCAAUCACCAUUCGGGAAAUAAUGGAUCCUUAUCACAGCAUGUUCCUUUGGCUAUAUUUAGCCACGUGCUGUGUGUGACACAUUCCUGCAUGGUGUUGCACCUUAAGAAGAGGAUGACGGCCUCACAGCUCCCAAAUAAAAGGUUUUUAAAGUAUGUUAAAAUAAACAUAGGACAAAUAUUUUUUGUACACAUGGUCUUUA